RNAcentral lists this ribosomal RNA (468 nucleotides) under uncultured bacterium. Its description in RNAcentral is "partial 16S ribosomal RNA". It matches the Rfam family "Bacterial small subunit ribosomal RNA", at positions 28 to 507 of the family's 1533-position model. The record is from RNAcentral.
GACGAACGCUGGCGGCGUGCUUAACACAUGCCAGUCGAACGGAAAGGCCCUGCUUUUGUGGGGUGCUCGAGUGGCGAACGGGUGAGUAACACGUGAGUAACCUGCCCUUGACUUUGGGAUAACUUCAGGAAACUGGGGCUAAUACCGGAUAGGAGCUCCUGCUGCAUGGUGGGGGUUGGAAAGUUUCGGCGGUUGGGGAUGGACUCGCGGCUUAUCAGCUUGUUGGUGGGGUAGUGGCUUACCAAGGCUUUGACGGGUAGCCGGCCUGAGAGGGUGACCGGCCACAUUGGGACUGAGAGACGGCCCAGACGCCUACGGGAGGCAGCAGUGGGGAAUAUUGCACAAUGGGCGGAAGCCUGAUGAAGCAACGCCGCGUGCGGGAUGACGGCCUUCGGGUUGUAAACCGCUUUCGCCUGUGACGAAGCGUGAGUGACGGUAAUGGGUAAAGAAGCACCGGCUAACUACGUG